Molecule: unclassified non-coding RNA, 328 nt
Filed under: soil metagenome
Description: partial contains 5.8S ribosomal RNA, internal transcribed spacer 2, and large subunit ribosomal RNA
Rfam family: 5.8S ribosomal RNA (bases 1-120)
Source: RNAcentral
GAUGAAGAACGUAGCGAAAUGCGAUAAGUAAUGUGAAUUGCAGAAUUCAGUGAAUCAUCGAAUCUUUGAACGCACAUUGCGCCCUCUGGUAUUCCGGGGGGCAUGCCUGUUCGAGCGUCAUUAUAACCACUCAAGCUCUCGCUUGGUAUUGGGGUUCGCGGUUCCGCGGCCCCUAAAAUCAGUGGCGGUGCCUGUCGGCUCUACGCGUAGUAAUACUCCUCGCGAUUGAGUCCGGUAGGUCUACUUGCCAGCAACCCCCAAUUUUUACAGGUUGACCUCGGAUCAGGUAGGGAUACCCGCUGAACUUAAGCAUAUCAAUAAGCGAGGA